Molecule: ribosomal RNA, 253 nt
Filed under: uncultured bacterium
Lineage: Bacteria
Also listed under: 1 other name
Description: partial 16S ribosomal RNA
Rfam family: Bacterial small subunit ribosomal RNA
Source: RNAcentral
UACGUAGGCAGCGAGCGUUGUUCGGAGUUACUGGGCGUAAAGCGUGCGUAGGCGGUGGUGCAAGUCUGUUGUGAAAUCUCCCGGCUCAACCGGGAGGGUGCGGCGGAAACUGUGCUGCUGGAGUACGGGAGAGGCAGGCGGAAUUCCUGGUGUAGCGGUGAAAUGCGUAGAUAUCAGGAGGAACACCCGUGGUGUAGACGGCCUGCUGGACCGUGACUGACGCUGAGGCACGAAAGCGUGGGGAGCAAACAGG